AUACUUUCACGAAUCACUCGGCCCCUCUGUUGAAGCCCAAUUCUUCAGUUAAUUGCCUCUCCAAACCAAACCCUUCCCAGCUCAGCCGUCGAGUUCCCAGUCGCCCCCACCGCCUUUUACCCUCGCUCGUUCGCACUCACGCUUCGGCCUCGCUCAGUCACUCGCAUUAACAAGUCAAUUGAGAGUCUUACCACAGUGCGUGAGUAUAUGUUGUGGCUAUGUUAAGGAGAUUUAGCAUUGCCAUAGAUUAACAUAAAGAUUAUCUAAACGGAUGUUAUCCCACUGUGUCAAAUCCCUCCGGCACUUUAAAAUCUUGAGAAAGUCUUCAGAAACUCCAUGGAACUUUCUGUUUCAUUCUUCUUAUGCGGACACACCCAUCAAGAAAUCAAAGCUUGCUCCUCUUCAGGAGAGGAGAAUGAUAGACAGGUUUAGCUUGUAUGCUAAAGGAGGUGAAGGUGGCAAUGGUUGCUCUAGUUUUCGCCGUAGCCGACAUGAGUCUCGUGGCAAACCUGAUGGUGGGAAUGGUGGAAGAGGCGGUGAUGUGAUAUUAGAAUGCUCCCCCACAGUUUGGGACUUUAGUGGUUUGCAACAUCACGUUAAUGCGAAUCGAGGAGGGCAUGGAUCCUCCAAGAAUAAGAUUGGAACCAGAGGAGCUGAUAAGGUUGUCCAAGUACCUGUUGGCACUGUAAUUCAUCUUGUAAAGGGUGAAAUUCCUUACGUUGUUGAAAAAGAAUCUUCAAGAGAGUUGGAUCCUUGGGAGAUUCCUGGCACACUUUCUAAAGAUGCAUCUCAAUCAGACCAGGGAAUUGCCCUUAGUGACCCAAGUAUGGCAGAGAACACUAGUUGUUCAUCUCAUUCUAAAAGAAGCAUCAAGGAAUUGCCAAAAGUGGAGCAGAGCACUCAUGUUGUAUCACCUAAAUUGAAUUCUAUUUCUGCUUCUGAAUCUUGCUCUGAAGAAGAGGAUGGGGAAGAACCAGAAAUGAAAUGUAAUGUCGCAGAACUAACAGAACAAGGUCAAAGAGUAAUUGUUGCAAGUGGAGGUGAGGGAGGUUUGGGUAAUGUGUCUACAUUCAGAGUUUCAAAGAAGCCUAAAACUAAAGAUCCUGUGCUCCAUGGGGAUAAAGUCACUGAAGUGGAAGCAUCUGAUGAGAGUUCGUCUCUCAACAUUGGCGCACCUGGUUCAGAGGCAGUUCUUGUAUUAGAACUCAAAAGCAUUGCUGAUGUGAGCCUUGUGGGGAUGCCAAAUGCUGGUAAAAGCACACUAUUGGGUGCCAUAUCAAGGGCAAAGCCUUCUGUAGGGCACUAUGCUUUCACUACUCUGAGACCAAAUUUAGGGAAUCUGAAUUAUGAUGACAUAUCAAUCAAAGUAGCUGAUAUUCCAGGACUCAUUAAGGGUGCCCAUGAAAACCGAGGACUUGGACAUGCAUUCCUUCGCCACAUAGAGCGCACUAGGGUCAUAGCUUAUGUGUUGGACUUGGCUGCUGGAUUGGAUGGAAGAAAAGGAAUUCCACCAUGGGAACAACUAAGAGACUUAGUUUUAGAGCUUGAGCACCAUCAAGAAGGCUUAUCUGAUCGACUUUGUUUAAUAGUGGCAAACAAAAUCGAUGAAGAAGGGACAAAUGGAGUAUUAGAAGAACUGAAAACAAGGGUGAAAGGUGCUCCUAUAUAUCCUGUUUGUGCUGUUUUGGAGGAAGGAAUCCCUGAACUCAAAGCAGGUCUUAAGCAGCUCGUGGAUGGUCAUAUGUCAUACAAACUCAAAAUAGAUGAUAUCAUAGGUGACUAGUUUGUCUGGAUAUGUCCUUGUUGCCAUUUGCAGGCAAGGUGUUUUGGGAUGUAGAAGUGAGGUUACGUAUAGUGUAUGUUAUAAUCGACGGAGAGUUGGCGAUCUCUCAAAGUAUUGCUGCUGAUUUGAGCCAUGUUGAACAUUGGGUUUUUCGGGACGCUUAUGGCGUUGCUAUGAGACCUCAGCAUGUUCAGAGAUACCGGGAGAAUGCCUAUAUUUACAAGAUUGCUUUUCUUCUCAAUUUGAACUCUCCAAUCAUUAAACCUUUGCUUAAGAUGAGAAGGAUUUCAAAGGAGAAAGAGCUUAAAACUUUGUUAGCAGUGGAACAAGAUCCUUGCUCAUGUUACAUGGAGAGGGCAACUAUCAAAGUAGACAGUGAUUAUGCUUUUGGGUAUGCUAAAGCACAAGUUGGAGUGCACAAGCUGGUAAGGAUCUCCCCAUUUGACAGUAGGGUUGAGCAUAAACUCCAAAAAACCGAAAAAAUCGACCUACCGAACAAUGUUGGAACUGAAACUGACAGAACCGAAAACUGAAAAAACCGCUAAUGGUUAAAACCGCCAUUGAAUAGUUGGUUUUUUUUAUAGAUAAUAAACUGACUGAAAAAAUCGAAACCGAUCGUUAUACAUAUAUAUUAAUUUAUUAAGUUUUUUUUUUUGCUUUAUAUAUUGUGGUUACUAAUGAUAUAUAAUAAUAAUAUAUUAUUAUUUUAUUAA
Cannabis sativa is the source of this 2496-nucleotide RNA transcript. It is a transcript of the gene named probable GTP-binding protein OBGM, mitochondrial, with no coding region annotated. NCBI's taxonomy places the organism in Eukaryota, Viridiplantae, Streptophyta, Magnoliopsida, Rosales, Cannabaceae. The transcript has 11 exons. The record is from RefSeq and is a predicted model, not a curated record.